RNAcentral lists this ribosomal RNA (511 nucleotides) under uncultured bacterium. RNAcentral describes it as "bacterial SSU rRNA". It matches the Rfam family "Bacterial small subunit ribosomal RNA", at positions 28 to 526 of the family's 1533-position model. The record is from RNAcentral.
GAUGAACGCUAGCGACAGGCCUAACACAUGCAAGUCGAGGGGCAGCACGGUGUAGCAAUACACGGGUGGCGACCGGCGCACGGGUGAGUAACGCGUAUGCAACCUGCCUACUACAAGGGGAUAACCCGUUGAAAGACGGACUAAUACCCUAUAACACAGGGAAUCCGCAUGGAUAUAUUUGUUAAAGAUUUAUCGGUAGUAGAUGGGCAUGCGUUCCAUUAGCUUGUUGGUGAGGUAACGGCUCACCAAGGCAACGAUGGAUAGGGGAACUGAGAGGUUGAUCCCCCACACUGGAACUGAGACACGGUCCAGACUCCUACGGGAGGCAGCAGUGAGGAAUAUUGGUCAAUGGACGAGAGUCUGAACCAGCCAAGUCGCGUGAAAGGAAGACGGCCCUACGGGUUGUAAACUUCUUUUGUAAGGGAAUAAAUAGUCUUACGCGCUAAGACGUUGCUAGGUACCUUACGAAUAAGGAUCGGCUAACUCCGUGCCAGCAGCCACGGUAAAAGUC